AAGCCAUAAGCGAAACGUCCAAUCUAAAGCUUGACUUAGUUAUAAUCACCAAGGGUUGGCCAAUCUCGUGCCAGCCGCCGCGGUUACACGAGAAACCCAAAACAACGACCAACGGCGUAAAUUGUGGCUAGAAUAACUGCUAAUAACUAAGAAAUAAACCAACGCCUAACCGUAAAACACAGGUAAAAUGAAACUUCUUACACUAAAAGCAAUUUGAACCCACGAAAGCUAAGAAACAAACUAGGAUUAGAUACCCUACUAUGCUUAGACGUAAAUAAGACACCAAACAACAUAAGUGUCCGCCAGAGAACUACAAGCGAAAAGCUUAAAACUCAAAAGACUUGGCGGUGUCCCACACCCGACUUAGAGGAGCCUGUCCUAUAAUCGAUAACCCACGAUAAACCCCACCACCUUUUGCCCAACCAGCCUAUAUACCGCCGUCGCAAACCUACCUUACAAAAGAACAACAGUAGGUGCAACAGUUAACACACUAAAACGUCAGGUCAAGGUGUAGCUAAUAGGGUGGAAGAGAUGGGCUACAUUCUUUAUACCUAAAGCAAACAGAAAGAACCAUGAAACAGGUUCCCAAAGGAGGAUUUAACAGUAAACUUGGUAAGAAAACCAACUUUAAACUCGCUCUGGGACGCGCACACACCGCCCGUCACCC
Molecule: ribosomal RNA, 667 nt
Filed under: Microlophus theresiae
Lineage: Eukaryota; Metazoa; Chordata; Lepidosauria; Squamata; Tropiduridae
Description: partial 12S ribosomal RNA
Rfam family: Bacterial small subunit ribosomal RNA
Source: RNAcentral